GGCCAGGUAGCUCAGUUGGUUAGAGCGUUGUCCUGAUAUGCCAAGGUUGUGGGUUUAUCCCUGGUUA
This 67-nucleotide transfer RNA is filed under the name Myotis brandtii (Brandt's bat). It matches the Rfam family "tRNA". Rfam says of the family: Transfer RNA (tRNA) molecules are approximately 80 nucleotides in length. Lineage: Eukaryota; Metazoa; Chordata; Mammalia; Chiroptera; Vespertilionidae. The record is from Rfam by way of RNAcentral.